RNAcentral lists this unclassified non-coding RNA (363 nucleotides) under Hevea brasiliensis (rubber tree). The record is from RNAcentral. Lineage: Eukaryota; Viridiplantae; Streptophyta; Magnoliopsida; Malpighiales; Euphorbiaceae.
AACAGUCUCAUGAGUGACACCUCUCUCUCCAUGUAGUUGCUUGAUUGAGGAGAAAAACCAUGGUUUUCUGAAGUGGCAAUAUCUAGGCAUAGAGAAAUUUUGACGAGUAUAUAGCUUUUUUUUUAUCAAUUGUAAUCAGAAGUAUAGAAGCUUUGGGUUGUGCCUGUCAUUUAUGUAAAAUUUCUACUGCCAAAGUCUGAUCCAACAAAGCCCAAAGGGAUGAUGGGCAUCUUUUUUAAACUUUCUNNNNNNNNNNNNNAACUAGAACAUCCUGUAGAAUUCAUGGUCCUCCUCAUGGGGAUUGUUGAUUUUGCUCUAGCAUGUUAGUGAUUGUCCCUUUUUUUUUAUUUAUAAAUAACCUGC